Molecule: transfer RNA, 91 nt
Filed under: Candidatus Portiera aleyrodidarum (primary endosymbiont of Bemisia tabaci)
Lineage: Bacteria; Pseudomonadati; Pseudomonadota; Gammaproteobacteria; Johnevansiales (SeqCode); Johnevansiaceae (SeqCode)
Description: tRNA-Ser
Rfam family: tRNA
About the family: Transfer RNA (tRNA) molecules are approximately 80 nucleotides in length.
Source: RNAcentral
GGAGAGGUGUCCGAGUGGUUUAAGGAGCACAUUUGGAAAGUGUGUAAGUGUAAUUUGUUGACUUCAAGGGUUCAAAUCCCUUUCUCUCCGC